UUCGACCUCAAAUCAGGUAGGACUACCCGCUGAACUUAAGCAUAUCAAUAAGCGGAGGAAAAGAAACCAACAGGGAUUGCCUUAGUAGCGGCGAGUGAAGCGGCAAAAGCUCAAAUUUGAAAU
RNAcentral lists this ribosomal RNA (123 nucleotides) under Lodderomyces parapsilosis. RNAcentral describes it as "Candida parapsilosis partial 28S ribosomal RNA". It matches the Rfam family "Eukaryotic large subunit ribosomal RNA", at positions 1 to 121 of the family's 3401-position model. Lineage: Eukaryota; Fungi; Ascomycota; Pichiomycetes; Serinales; Debaryomycetaceae. The record is from RNAcentral.